RNAcentral lists this ribosomal RNA (253 nucleotides) under uncultured Actinomycetales bacterium. RNAcentral's name for it is "partial 16S ribosomal RNA". It matches the Rfam family "Bacterial small subunit ribosomal RNA", at positions 77 to 334 of the family's 1533-position model. Lineage: Bacteria; Bacillati; Actinomycetota; Actinomycetes; Actinomycetales. The record is from RNAcentral.
CUUUUGUGGGGUGCUCGAGUGGCGAACGGGUGAGUAACACGUGAGUAACCUGCCCUUGACUUUGGGAUAACUUCAGGAAACUGGGUCUAAUACCGGAUAGGAGCCAUUUUUAGUGUGAUGGUUGGAAAGUUUUUCGGUGUAGGAUGAGCUCGCGGCCUAUCAGCUUGUUGGUGGGGUAAUGGCCUACCAAGGCGGCGACGGGUAGCCGGCCUGAGAGGGUGGACGGCCACAUUGGGACUGAGAUACGGCCCAG